This 487-nucleotide ribosomal RNA is filed under the name uncultured bacterium. RNAcentral describes it as "bacterial SSU rRNA". It matches the Rfam family "Bacterial small subunit ribosomal RNA", at positions 8 to 507 of the family's 1533-position model. The record is from RNAcentral.
AGAGUUUGAUCAUGGCUCAGGACGAACGCUGGCGGCGUGCUUAACACAUGCAAGUCGAACGGUGAACCAGAGCUUGCUCUGGGGAUCAGUGGCGAACGGGUGAGUAACACGUGGGCAACCUGCCCAGACUCUGGGAUAACCUCGGGAAACCGAUGCUAAUACCGGAUACGACCACUUCGGACAUCCGACGGUGGUGGAAAGUUUUUCGGUCUGGGAUGGGGCCCGCGGCCUAUCAGCUAGUUGGUGGGGUAAUGGCCUACCAAGGGCGACGACGGGUAGCCGGCCUGAGAGGGCGACCGGCCACACUGGAACUGAGACACGGUCCAGACUCCUACGGGAGGCAGCAGUGGGGAAUAUUGCACAAUGGGCGAAAGCCUGAUGCAGCGACGCCGCGUGAGGGACGACGGCCUUCGGGUUGUAAACCUCUUUCAGCAGGGACGAAGCGAAAGUGACUGUACCUGCAGAAGAAGCACCGGCUAACUACGUG